RNAcentral lists this small nuclear RNA (105 nucleotides) under Amborella trichopoda. The record is from RNAcentral. Lineage: Eukaryota; Viridiplantae; Streptophyta; Magnoliopsida; Amborellales; Amborellaceae.
UGCCUCUUUAGAGACGUCCCGAUAAAAUUUGAGUGAUACAUUGAAGAUUAGCAUGUCACCUGCGCAAGGUUGGAAUGCGCAGAUCAAGAAAUGGUUCCGAGUGAU